This 217-nucleotide ribosomal RNA is filed under the name uncultured archaeon. RNAcentral's name for it is "partial 16S ribosomal RNA". It matches the Rfam family "Archaeal small subunit ribosomal RNA", at positions 462 to 673 of the family's 1478-position model. The record is from RNAcentral.
UAGCCACGGUAAUACCAGCUCCGCGAGUGGUCGGGGACUAUUACUGGGCCUAAAAGCGCCCGUAGCCGGCCCCGGUAAGUCAUCCCCUUAAAAGACCCCGGCUCAACCGGGGGAAUGGGGGGUGAUACUACCGGGCUAGGGGGCGGGAGAGGCCAGCGGUACUCCCGGAGUAGGGGCGAAAUCCUCAGAUCCUGGGAGGACCACCAGUGGCGAAAGC